Molecule: non-coding RNA, 111 nt
Organism: Daedalea quercina L-15889
Lineage: Eukaryota; Fungi; Basidiomycota; Agaricomycetes; Polyporales; Fomitopsidaceae
Source: the annotation of a GenBank genome assembly
GGCCGACUAGCUCAGCUGGUUAGAGCGUGGUGCUAAUACAACUUUCCCACGGUAUUGAUAGGAAUUCCGUACGGAACGCCAAGGUCGUCGGUUCGAUCCCGGCGUUGGCCA